GGGGGAUGUCUGUGGCCUCUCCGCCCACACUUCCUCCACCCACCGCCCGCAGCGCCCCAGAAGGACCUAUUACUCGUUUGGCUUCUGAAGGCCGAAGCCAGGCUCUGGCGGGGAUAGAACCCUGAAGGGCCUGCGCCAGCUCCAACUUAGGGCCCUGUGCGUCGUUGCGACUGCCGCUACCACCCCAUCACGCGGCACCCCCGCCCCAACUCCGCCCGGGUCUCUGAAGAGGCAAUAGGCCUUUCAUCUCCGGGGAAAGUCUCACCUUGGCCCUCAGACACCCGCCAAGAGGGGUCGGAAGGACAGAAUUAGCAUACAGAAGAGGGGCUAGAGCACUUUGCAGGCUCUGGCCCCAGGAAUCCUUGACAGGAAGCGUGGGGUUGCUGCCCAGCCUCCCACGCAGUGUAAUAUAUUGAAGCCGGGCCCCUUUGAGGGAAUGCGACUUCCUUGGGCCGAGGGGGAAAGGGCAGUGCCUGAUGGCUGAGAAGAAUCGCAGAGGACUAGAAAAGGUUUGAGUCUGAAAUUAUCUGGCACAGAGGAUUAGAGCUCAGAAAUAAGUGAUUGCGAAACAGUUCAACUUCCCUGUUAAUGACAACAACAACAACAGCAACACGCUUAUUAAUUCCUAGCUGGAGCAUCAAGCUUAUGAAGAUUUCCAAGUAAGACUUUAUUGUUGACCCUUGUUGAAGAGAACUCUACUUGGCUUCUUUCCUGGCUUUCCUAAAUUGUUCACAUACAAGAUAAACUACCGUCAUUCAGACUUACAGAAGUGAGAAGACAAGCUGAACCAAAUGUAAAAUGGUAGCAAUUUACAGAUGUCAGAACUAACAUGUGGAUGAACUUAGAGAUGGAGAAGAAAGCUGGGCUUUUCCAAAGAGUGGAUCUAUCUGAACUGGAUAGCACUAUUGAACUUUGUUGCAUAUUUUGUGGUAGCUCUAAAACUCCUCUGCUUGCUUACAUACAACCAGACACCAGUGCCUUCUGAAGCUAAUCCAGGCCAUUUUUAUAACCUAAUGCAGUAGCACUUUGCAAUUAGAUGAAGAAGAUCGGUGGGAUUUCUUUCUGUGGUGAUUAAAAUGUGUCAGGGGAAGAAAUCAAGACAAUACUCCAAGUGAAAAAUAUAAAGUCAGUUAUUUCUUUAAUAUUUUGUGUUAUAGUAAUCAUUUUUAUAUUUUGAGCAUACUUUUUCUUGUCUACUUAAAUACUCAAAAUUAAUUAUAAAAUGUAAAUGUAAGCACAAUGAGAUACCAUCUCAUCCCAGUUAAAAUGGCUUUUAUCAAAAAGAUAGGGAAUAAUGAAUACUGGUGGAAGGAUGUGGAGAAUGGGGAACCCUCGUACACUGUCAGUGAGAAUGUAAAUUAGUACAGCCACUAUGGAAAACUGUAUGGAAGUGCCUCCGAAAACAAAGUAGAACUACCAUGUGAUCCAGCAAUUACACUAGUGGGUAUAUAUUCAAAAGAAAGGAAAUCAACAUAUCAAAG
RNAcentral lists this long non-coding RNA (1481 nucleotides) under Pan troglodytes (chimpanzee). RNAcentral's name for it is "long non-coding RNA NONPTRT014259". The record is from RNAcentral. Lineage: Eukaryota; Metazoa; Chordata; Mammalia; Primates; Hominidae.